GGGGCCGUAGGCUAGUGGCAGGCUUCCGGGUUCGGGUCCCGGAGAUCGGGGUUCAAAUCCCCGCGGCCCCA
This 71-nucleotide transfer RNA is filed under the name Nanoarchaeota archaeon NZ13-N. RNAcentral describes it as "tRNA-Pro". It matches the Rfam family "tRNA". From Rfam's summary of the family: Transfer RNA (tRNA) molecules are approximately 80 nucleotides in length. Their secondary structure includes four short double-helical elements and three loops (D, anti-codon, and T loops). Lineage: Archaea; Nanobdellati; Nanobdellota. RNAcentral also lists the same sequence under 1 other name. The record is from RNAcentral.